CAAAUCCAAUCACAUGAAAAAGAAAAGUCUUAACUUCUGGAGGUUCCUACGUAUGAGUAUUUUUUCGUGAGCUUGAUUAGGCUUUCACCUAGCAUUUAAGAUUCAGAGUAUAAACUGUCCUAAGCUGUUCCCAAAUCUAAACAGAUAAGGAUUAGAAAAAUCAACUUCUAUACAUUUGAAGUCAGUUCAGAUCCAGCAGGAGAAUACUGACAUCCAACUGUCUAAGUUCUGCUUCUGAAAGAGCCUGAAGACAAAGGGUAGAGCACUCUCUUCCCAGCAUUCUAUUCCUUUUCUUCAUUUUUAAGCCAAGACAGCCAGCUACUGGGUGCUGUGGAUCUAACCCAGUACCAACUAUCUAUUGAUCCCUCCUGAGGUUCUUCAACCUUCCUCCCUCUUCUCCCAGUGGGACAGAUGAAAGGACAAUGCACGUGGACUCAAAGCCUUUCUUUGUCAACUUGCAGUCUUGUCUACCUUUAGUGGGGAUCCAGACACUUACUACUUUGAAUUUGUCUUCGACCUGGUGUCCUUGGGUCAGCAGAUGUCAACUCCCUUUGGAAAAGUGAGCCAGCAGCUAUGCAAAACACAGAAGCCUGGCAGGAUGCUGAGAGAAUAAGAAACCCAUACAUCUACUGACUCUCCUGCCUUCAAAUUCCAGCCAGUAUGAGAGGACAUCAGUGGUGUUCCCCAGAGCUCUUUGCAUAACAUUUGACUCAGGUGUUCGAUUUUCGACCAGUGAAGGUAAGAAGAGAUGACCUCUGAGAUUCUUUCCAACUCUGAAAGCCCAUAUGAGGGGUCUGCAAGGAAACAGAAAAACUUGUCUGGUGCAUAAGGCUGCUCUGAAAGAAAUCACAGACCAGUCAGAAAGCCAAAUUUCAGUCUUUUGGGAAUUUAGUUUUCUAGAAGCUGAAGCAAUGACAAUAGCAUAUCCCCAUUUCAACCACAAACUGAG
Heterocephalus glaber (naked mole-rat) is the source of this 949-nucleotide long non-coding RNA. The record is from Ensembl. Lineage: Eukaryota; Metazoa; Chordata; Mammalia; Rodentia; Bathyergidae.